CCUACGGGUGGCAGCAGUGGGGAAUAUUGGACAAUGGGGGGAACCCUGAUCCAGCGACGCCGCGUGAGUGAAGAAGUAUUUCGGUAUGUAAAGCUCUAUCAGCAGGGAAGAAAGAAAUGACGGUACCUGACUAAGAAGCCCCGGCUAACUACGUGCCAGCAGCCGCGGUAAUACGUAGGGGGCAAGCGUUAUCCGGAUUUACUGGGUGUAAAGGGAGCGUAGACGGCGGAACAAGUCAGAAGUGAAAACCCGGGGCUCAACCCUGGGAGUGCUUUUGAAACUGUUUGGCUGGAGUGCAGGAGAGGUAAGCGGAAUUCCUAGUGUAGCGGUGAAAUGCGUAGAUAUUAGGAGGAACACCAGUGGCGAAGGCGGCUUACUGGACUGUAACUGACGUUGAGGCUCGAAAGCGUGGGGAGCAAACAGGAUUAGAUACCCUGGUAGUC
RNAcentral lists this ribosomal RNA (443 nucleotides) under uncultured bacterium. RNAcentral describes it as "partial 16S ribosomal RNA". It matches the Rfam family "Bacterial small subunit ribosomal RNA", at positions 338 to 795 of the family's 1533-position model. The record is from RNAcentral.